UGCUCAUAUUGUGCUUUUUGGCUUUUCCCCUUUACUUUAUUGUGAUAUAUUUCUAAUUUGUGUACGUUAGGGGUUUACAAAGUGGAAAGCCCAAAGUCCACCCCAGAAGGAAUUACCAUCUUCAACAGAAAACACUGUUCACCCACUUCUCCAAACAGCUCUGUCGUAGUCCAGCCUUUACAUCCAUGACGAACGUGUGUUCCUAGUAAAACACGUUAUAAUACUCGCCUAGCUGCUAGCGUGGCAUUCCCUCGUACUCUGCAACUGAUUAGCUAGCAGUACUUGCUGCUCAUG
This is a long non-coding RNA of Etheostoma cragini (Arkansas darter), 294 nucleotides long. RefSeq lists it as uncharacterized. The transcript is spliced from 3 exons. The record is from RefSeq and is a predicted model, not a curated record. NCBI's taxonomy places the organism in Eukaryota, Metazoa, Chordata, Actinopteri, Perciformes, Percidae.